GUUGGCGUGGCAGAGCCUGGCAAAUGCAAAAGACCUAAGCCCUUUAAACAGAGGUUCAAGUCCUCUCUCUAACU
Molecule: transfer RNA, 74 nt
Filed under: Larsonella pumila
Lineage: Eukaryota; Metazoa; Chordata; Actinopteri; Gobiiformes; Gobiidae
Description: tRNA-Leu
Rfam family: tRNA
About the family: Transfer RNA (tRNA) molecules are approximately 80 nucleotides in length. Their secondary structure includes four short double-helical elements and three loops (D, anti-codon, and T loops).
Source: RNAcentral